CCUGCUCAUCUGCACGGGGCCCACCUGCUGUGCCCAGGCCUCUCCACGCUUACAUAACCCAGUGUCCACCUCUCCAAGGGGGGCACUAAUGCCGGGAGGAACGAGCUAGGGGCACAGACAGGAGACAGGACCCUCUCCAGGCUGGGACAGGGCCUGACCCCCUUCUUCCUGUCCUCAGAUGUGGACGAGUGCAGCUCCGGGCAGCAUCAGUGUGACAGCUCCACUGUCUGCUUCAACACCGUGGGUUCAUACAGCUGCCGCUGCCGCCCAGGCUGGAAGCCCAGACACGGAAUCCCGAAUAACCAAAAGGACACUGUCUGUGAAGAUAUGACUUUCUCCACCUGGACCCCGCCCCCUGGAGUCCACAGCCAGACACUUUCCCGAUUCUUCGACAAAGUCCAGGACCUGGGCAGAGACUCCAAGACAAGCUCAGCCGAGGUCACCAUCCAGAAUGUCAUCAAAUUGGUGGACGAACUGAUGGAAGCUCCUGGAGACGUAGAGGCCCUGGCGCCACCUGUCCGGCACCUCAUAGCCACCCAGCUGCUCUCAAACCUUGAAGAUAUCAUGA
This 568-nucleotide small RNA is filed under the name Pan troglodytes (chimpanzee). RNAcentral's name for it is "retained intron". The record is from RNAcentral. Lineage: Eukaryota; Metazoa; Chordata; Mammalia; Primates; Hominidae.